Molecule: transfer RNA, 73 nt
Filed under: Schistosoma curassoni
Lineage: Eukaryota; Metazoa; Platyhelminthes; Trematoda; Strigeidida; Schistosomatidae
Rfam family: tRNA
About the family: Transfer RNA (tRNA) molecules are approximately 80 nucleotides in length. Their secondary structure includes four short double-helical elements and three loops (D, anti-codon, and T loops). Further hydrogen bonds mediate the characteristic L-shaped molecular structure. tRNAs have two regions of fundamental functional importance: the anti-codon, which is responsible for specific mRNA codon recognition, and the 3' end, to which the tRNAs corresponding amino acid is attached (by aminoacyl-tRNA synthetases). tRNAs cope with the degeneracy of the genetic code in two manners: having more than one tRNA (with a specific anti-codon) for a particular amino acid; and 'wobble' base-pairing, i.e. permitting non-standard base-pairing at the 3rd anti-codon position.
Source: Rfam by way of RNAcentral
GUCGGGAUAGCACAUUUGGGAGAGCGUUAGACUGAAGAUCUAAAUGUCUAAGGUUCGUUUCAGGGUUCCGGCA